AAUAUUAUUAUAAUAUAUAAUAAGUUAUAUAUUUAUAUAAUAUAUAAUAAAUAUAGUAUGUUAUGUAUCAUAUAUAGUAGUUAUUUAUUAGCUAUAUGCUAGUUAUUUCAGAUAGAAAUAACUAUGAUGAAAAAAAUAGGAUGAGGAUGUUAGUUUUGAUAGAGUGGUUUGAGAAGGCCUCUCUGAGGUGCAAAAAUUGAGCUGAGAAUUUACUCUUGAAACAGCCAUCUGUGAGAAGAGGAAUCCAGGUUGAGGGACAACAGAUAUAGGAGCAUUAAGGCUGGAACAAGCUUGAUGUUGUCAGGCAGCUGAAAGAAGGGCAAGUAGUUGGGGUGUCCUGGCAAGGGGCAGAGUGAGGAGAUGAGGCCCAAGGGGCAGGUUGGGCCCAGGCUGUGCGGGGUCUUAUAUACCUGGGGAAACAUUUGGAAUUUAUUCUAAAUGCACUGGGAAGCUUGGAGGCAGUUAAGCUGGGGAGUGACACAACCAGACUUAUGUUUUUAAAAGGUAAUUUUCAGAAAGGGUAAAAUAAUGACUCUCAUACAGACAUCAGAAUGAUCAGAUUUAAAGAAUUUAUUUAACUUGCUCAUUUCCCUCAUAAUGUUCAGAGGGUAAAUCAAAAAAGCACAAAUUUGAUGGGGCUGGCCCCGUGGCUGAGUGGUUAGGUUCGCGCGCUCCGCUGCAGGCAGCCCACUGUUUCGUUGGUUCGAAUCCUGGGCGCGGACAUGGCACUGCUCAUCAAACCACGCUGAGGCAGCGUCCCACAUGCCACAACUAGAAGGACCCACAACAAAGAAUAUACAACUAUGUACUGGGGGGCUUUGGAGAGAAAAAAUAAAAUCUUUAAAAAAAAAAAAAAGUUGUUUAAAAAAAAAAAAGCACAAAUUUGAUAUGGACUAAAGGAAUGAUGAGUUGAAUGUGUAAAUGGUUUUUCCAUGUGUAAACUGUUUUUUCCAUGGGGGGUGUAGGUGAGUGGGGAAGGGAACCUCUACCAGACACGACAGUUUGCAUGUCUAUCAGUUAUCUGAACUUUCAAAGUUGUAAAAAUAGUUCAAAGACAGUGAAAGAGUAGGAUCAGAUAACUGGGAAGGUGUGCUGUAUGCAGACAAUGCAUAGUUUUCCAUUGGAACACAAUUUCUUUUCUAUAACGCUUUUUUAAAAAAAAAACUUUAUUUUGAAGUACGGCUUCUCAGGAAGCUACAAGGAUAGUGCAGAGAGGUCCUGGGUACCCUUCAUCCAUUUCCUCCAAUGAGUACAUUUUAUGUAACUCUAGUUAUAUAAAUUGGAUCAUGCAAUAUAUGAUCUUCUGAGAUUUCCCACUUAAGUUUAAUGCCCUUGAGAUCCAUCCGUGUUGUCGUGUGUAUCAAUACAGUUGGCCCUAUAUUCAGGGGAUGGCUGAAACCCGCAGAUGCAGAGGGCCAACUGUAUUCAUUGUACUACACUGUUUUAUAUAAGGGACUUGAGCAUCCACGGAUGUUGCUAUCCAUGGGGGUUCCUGGAACCAACACCCCUCUAAUACUGAGGAACAACUCUAGUUUGUCCCUUUUUGUUGCUGAGCAGUAUUUCUUGGUAUGGAUGUCCCACAGUUUGUUUAGCCAUUCACCUAUUGUAGGACAUUAUGGUUGUUUUCAGUUUGGGGUUCUUGUUUAUAAAGCUGCUCUGAAAACUCAUGUGCAGGUUUUUGGGUGGAUGUAAGUUUUAUUUCUCUGAGAGUAAAUGUCCAGGAGUGAAUUGCUGGGUUAUUCUACAGUGUUUUAAAAGAUUCAUUCUGCUUUGUGGACGAUGGACUGUAGAGGAUCAGAUUGGAUGCAGGGAGACAAUUAUUUUCCAAACAGUGCCUGACUGACCCUUUUAAAAUAUAAUCAUGUCUCUCCACUGCCUUCCAUCAUCUUCCUCCUCCAUAGAGUAAAAUCCAGAGUUCAUAUAAUUGCCAACUUAAAGCCUCUUGUGAUCUACAGCAAUCCUUUGCCCUUUCUACCCCCUCCCACCCUCCUUCACUCCACUCCAGCCUCACUGGUCUUGAAUGGGCCCAAAAUAUCCUUCCUCAGGAUUCUUUCUCUCAAUAUUCCUUCUGCUUAAAAUGGUCUUUCCCCAGAUGUCUGCAUAACUCCCUGCCUUAUCUCCUUCUAGUAUUAGCUCUAAUUGUCUCUUUUUCAGUGUGAGAUGAAGAAGAGAAACUUCAACUACAUUGGAGUCAGGAGGGCCUGUAGAGGGAGCUCUCACAUCCUAUCAUGCAUCAUCAAUUACUCCAAACAGGAAGAAACAUAUGCUUACAUCUCCAACAGGAAAUUCAACUUCUCUACUACUGAAGGAAGAUUUCUCUCCCCUGCUGGGCAACAGCCCAGCCAAUGAGAAAUGCUUCAGCUCAGCCAAUGAGAAGCCAUUAUCACCCUAAACUGUUACUUUUCUCCAAUGGACUUCCCUUUGGAACAGCCCCUCGCUACUCCCCCUUUUGCUCCCCCCUCUUUGUUCUCCAGAUUUGCUUAUGCUUCACCAUGGCACGCACAUCCCGAAUUGCUACUCUUUAGUCUAUUCUCCAGUAAACUCAUUUUGAGAGUACAAUAACUAACUGGCAAAUUUGCUUUUCAAGUUGAUCAGUGAGGCCCUCACUAGUCACUCUGUUUACUAUUGCAACCUAGUCCCCUUCCUCCCUCCCCUCAACAUGCCCCCUAUCUCCUUUCGUAUGUAGCACCUAUUGCCAUCUGUCAUGCUACGUAUUGUACUUGUUUAUUGCUUGUUUCCCCUGACUAGAAUGCAGAUUCCUUGAGGGCAGGGGUUUUUGUCCAUUCUGUUUCCUCCCGAGUCCUCAGCAUCUAGAAUAGUGCCUAGCACAGAGUAAAGGCUCAGUAAACAUUUGUUAAACGUAUGAAUGACUUUAGGAGGCUCUGGCAGUAGUUCAGGUGAGAGCUAGGACUGUUUGGACGAGUGUAGCAGUAGUGACAGUGGAAGAAAGUAGACAUAUGCAGAACAUAUUCAAGAGGUAGUCCAUUCCAUUUUACACAGCUCUGAACAGCAGAACGUUUUCCUUGCUUUGAACCCAAAUUUGCUUUUUUGCUCCUUCCAACUUUUGGCCCUUGGGGCUAUUCAGAGGAAAUGUAAUCACCUCCCAGCCUCUCUUUAGAAUGAAAUCUACAGCAGUUUUUUCUUUCCUUUCUAUGAUGGUUUCUAGGACCUUUUUGCAGUGGGUACAUCCUUUUAAAGAGUAGAAAAGGACAGUCAUCUUUGAUCUAAUUACUAUUUUUCUCACUAAUAGGGUUCUGUAUUCAUUAGGACUCUUGGUAGCAAGUGACAGAAACCCAGCAUAAAUGGAUUAACCAUAAAGAUGCUUGUGGCUCACACGACCCUGAAGACUAGAGGUUCUUCAAACUUCUGGGUCUUUCCCCCCAUCACUCCAGACAGUGUCAAAGGAAAGAUGGCCUCCAACAGACACGAAGUGUCAUCUUCCCAGCUUAAAAUCCACAACAGAAAGACAGCUGUCACGUGGCAUCCUUGGACCAGUCUUUAUUGCUUGGGAGAGAGAGUUCUGUUACAGAUUAGGCCUGGGUCACAGGGCUGCCCACUGGAACCACACAUGGGGGAGGGGAUGCUGGGCAGAAAAAAGCAACUGCUCUCUACUGCAUCUUUGAGCGUAAACUAAUAGCUCCUCUUUCACCCUUUAAUAAAAGCCAUUUCUGCGGGGUAAAAAUGUUCCCUAAAUCAAAGAAGAAGCCGUCUUUGGAAUUGUAAGUGAAAAAUGAAAUGACAAAGGAAGACAAUCUUGAAUGUCGAAAGCGAGAGUCAGAUGGUUUUAUGCUUUACUCUCUCUCUUUAGUUGGGCAAAUUUAGGAGGAUUGAUCUGGACUUGUUGUUUGUCCAUGGACAGAUAUACUGUACAAACAAUAACUUGACUUGCUCCCGAUACACUCUGCUCUGUAAAGCAAGUAAUGUAUAUUCUGUAAUAUGCAUGACAACAGCUGUUACUUAGAUUACUUUCCCUUUCCUGAAAGAGCUAGUGGUUUUGUUCUGUUUUUUCUCUGAGUGCGACUCCCAGAUUCCCAAGAAAGAUCAUCCACAUGUUCAGAAGGUAAGAACAGACCCAUGGGUGUGACUUCUGCCUUGGGGAGCCCCCAUCUUGAACCUGUGAGGCGUGUGUUUUCAGUCUGUUGCGACCAUCAUAGUUGUUUUGGAUUUCCAAGAACACGUAUGGUUUCAAGCAUAGAUUGUUUUUCUAUGGAGUAAAUUUAAAGAAAUCCUAUUUUUUUCUUAGGAACUUUUAAGCUAUUCCAUGUCCCAAGUGUCUCGUUUUUGCCAGCAGAAGGGUAGCAUGAGUGUUGCUCUGAACAAAAGUCUGAGUGGCACAAUGGAGAAUUACGAAGUUGUAGGCUGGGCUGAACUGUCCAUUAUCUGUGUGUCCAAGAAGUAGGGGAGCAUAGAAGUUAGGAGUAUGAGCACUGGAAACGGUAGCUUGGGGUUUAGGUUGGCUUUUCCACUUACCAGCUGUGUGUCCUUGCACCGGCUACUUGACCCUCAGUACCUUGGUUUCCCCGUUUGUAAAAUGAGGAUAAUAAUAGUGCCCACUUGGCGGCAUUGUUCUGAGGAUGAAAGGAAUUAAUACAUGGCACAUAAACAGAGCCUGGCACACAGAAAACACUCAAUACAGCUUAGCUCUUAUCAGCAUCUUCAUCAUCAUUAGAUACAAUCAAAUGAAGUCCUUUGUGUACCUCUUAAUUCCAACCAACAACUGCCCAUGAGAGGGAUCUUUGAGCAUAGACUCCUCUGCUGGCCUCUCUGUAAACCAUGUGAAGAGCACAGACCUUGGACCAGCAGCCCUGGACCCAAGUUUAGUUUCCACCACUCAUUGGCUCUGAGCUGUUGGGCAAGUUGUGUGACUCUGGGCAGAUUAGGCAUGCCUCUGAGUUCCAUUUUCCUCAUUUGUGAAACCAAGAUAAUCGGGCUGAACUCAUCCCUGUGCUGGGUGGGCAGAUCAAAGAGACCACGUCUGCCAGCUGCCCCAGGUCUGAGGAUCAGCAUCCGUGGGCAGCCGCCUGCUCAGAUGCACUCCAUUCUCCUUCCUCCCCACUGUUAACGUUUCAGUAAAUGGAAGGCACCCUACAAUGCACUGUGACUUGUUUUUAACAGUCCCCUGUUUUGUCUCGGUCUCACUCUCAAGUUUUUGCUAUUCUGGAUUUCAGAAAAUAGUUCAGUUGCCAAAAUUGGUUGAAUGAGCUACUUUCAGAAUUAGUCAAGUGAUACAAAGUACUGCUUUGCAGAGUGGUUUUAGCAAUUCCUCUUCACAGAACCAUCCUAUCAGAGAGUGUCUUGACAAAAGGAGAGGGUUUAUAAAAUUCACAUUAUGAGAACUCCUCUUACCAUCCACACCCACGAAAAUCCCUGUCAUAUAAAUCUCUUCCCUUCCUAAACCAGAGCAUCAGGAUAAAUCAAGACAUGAAUCGUCAUCAAAUAAUCUUACAUGGAGGUAUCCAAAGAAAGAAAAUUUUAAUUAUUAUCAUUACCCCCUUCAACAGUGAGGUCCCAUCUUUGGCUACUGGUUUGGUCCUAUCUGGAUGGCCUGAAGUUUAACCUUGGCUACUUAAACUCAGUUCAGUAGCUCAUGUUUAUGGAUAAAUGAGCAAAAGAGUAAGGAUCAAAAGCAAAAAAUAAAAUUACUCUGGAAUUAAAUAUUUUAGAAGCCAGAGCCGAGUGAAUGUUAGUGAAGUGUGGCAUUCAGCAGGGAAGGCCUGCACUUAUGUUAAUGCGCCUAACAAGGAAAUGAGAUUGACACAGCAAUUCUCUGUUUUUGUUGUCCCCUGAGGUUAGAGAUUAUGCAGUGCAUGUUUCUGUUUUUAGCUUCUUUGGUAAUUCCUAUGGUGAGAGACUACACUCUGCAUAUUUGUCAAGGUUGCACUCCCAUUAAGUGCUGGGUCUUUGAGGUAGCACGGGAAACACUGUUCUCAUCUGAGCCUCGAGCUCUGCCCAUCCUCACCCUGCGCUGUCCCCUGGUGCCGAGGGCCCCCUUCCCAUGGCUGAUUUCUUUAUUUAUGUUCAGUUGCCAGGGAAUACCACAGAGGAAACAUAAGUCUAUCUCAACAACAGUUGUUGCUGUGCGAAAUGUUGAAAUGGGUGGCCGGAUGACAAAAUGUUUACAUUCUUUAUUUGAUGUCUCAUUGUAAUCCUGAGGCCUUUUGACACCACUUGGAGGUAAACUAAGAAAAGGAAACUGAAAGAUCAGCACAGAUUUGAAUGAAGAAUAAACUAGUUAGCUUCUUUUAUGACAAAGAAACAUGGGUUUGGAUCCACUGCCUCUUUGAUAAUAGUUAUUGUAGCUGAAUCCUUGGGUAGACAUGUUAUCAGUAAACCCAAUUCAGACCAGCUGAAAGAGCCAAGGGCUGGAUCGACUGGUGUGGCUGUGAAGGUCACAGGGGGAACAGAUACGCUACAGCAAUCAAGGCUGUAGCAACUGGAAUCAAGGAUUUGGUGCUGGCAGGACUCCUUCCUUCCCCAUCCAGUCCUCAUCCUUGCUUGUCUCGGUUUCUUUUUGCAAGUCCUCCUCAUUCUCUCUUACUGAAGAUCCACCCUGUCCACAUGUCAGAGCAUACAGCCACUCUCAGCCUCAGCUUAGUACCCAGGCAAAGAGAACUUCUUUUGUCCAGUACAUAUAUAUAAAUCCCAGGCAAGAAAACUGAUUCACUCUACUUUGGGAUAUAUGCCCACCCCUUGGACCAAUCAACCUCUGUUUCCAAAGGAUGGAUAUUAUGAUUGGUUGACCUGGGUCUGAUGCUUACCACUGUAAGCAGGGGCAGAGAGUGUCUUCCCAGGAGAAGAGGGAUGAGAUAGCUGUCACUGGAGUACAGGACAGUCCAUCCCUUGGCUGCCUGACACAUAUAUCAUACAAUCACAAGAAUGCCUUCGUUUAUCAUAACUAUCCCGUGUUCAGCCAAAAUAUACUCACAUAUUCCCUUUGAGAGAAGCAACCUAAUGUCACAUCCAGUUAUUACAUCUAGAUCCAAGGGUAGCAUUUCUGUGCAAUGUCUUUUCCUCUAGGUCAAGUUCAAACAUGGCCCUUUACAGUCUGGCAACCUAUGACUAACCCCCUCCAAAAUACCCAGUAUAUAAUAAUGGAAGUAAAAGGAUAAAUGCAGUAGAAACUCCCAGUUAGAAAAAGGGAAAGAUGGAAAGCAAAAUGCAGCAAUCACACGUCCUUAGCCUUUUCUGUGUCUUGCUAGACAAAGGUCGCAAGAAGUCCUUUCCCUAGCAGUAAAGCCCCUCCAAAAAUCCAGUCACUUGAUUUGAAGUGGUUUUAUUGACAGGCUUAUAAUUAAAUGAUAGAACAGGUAUGGCACAUUUAAUUGAGGUGUGGAAGACAUAUUCCUAUCCUAACGUCUAUGCCAUCCUCAAGCUAGUCUGUUUAUCGGUUGGAUGAUGCUCUGGUCAUAUAUUCCAGAACCCAAACUGGGAUUUGUUGACCAGUGAUUGAGGAACUACUUCCAGGCAUGUCCAGGAGUAUGUAGAUUAGAUGACAAAAUGUUAGCUUUUCAGGGACUUUCUUUGUCAUGUGAAUCAUUUGUAUUGGAAACCUUUCUACAAUAUAAUACAUACUUCGCUGUCUCAGAAAAAUACAUGUAAUCCAUGUUUAUUGUGGAAAAGGAAAAAAUACGGAUAAACAACAACAAAAAUAUUAGCCAUAAUAACACUAUCCAGAGAUAAUGACUGUAAACACCUGACUUACGUUCUUCUGGUUGCUCCUUUUUAGUAUGUGCUGUAUGUUUGUAUGUUUAGUAAAAAUGAGAUCAUGUCAUACAGCUUGUCUAAAGCCUGCUUUUCUCCUCCUGCCUUCCUAAAAGAUGGUAGGCUGACUCAGGAGAGGGAAGAGAAUUGGCCUUUUUGAGUGCCUGGGCUGUAUGCACAUUAUUUCAUUUAAUCAGGGAUACGAACCCAGGCACGUAGGAAUGAAUAGUGGUCCUAGCCCAGGAUUCAACAGCUGUGCGCUGCUUGAACCUUCCCCUUCUCCCCUUCCUCAUCCCUCCUGAAAGUUAGUUCCACUUGGGAGAAUCUCCCUUCCUCCAGCCUUCCCUUCUCUUUCAUCUCUCUGUGACAGAAACGCCUGAUGUUUUCUGUUAGCAGCUUUGUGGGAAGUUCUUCAGGGACACUUUAAUGAUUUGUGGGGCCAAUGGGAUACAACAUAUGAAAUCAUGACUGUCCUGGAAUCUCUAGUACCAAAGGUCCUCAUCAAACAUUCUCAUGGAAGUGCGUGGGUCCUGGCAGAUAGGGCAUACUUCAGUCUGGCGGCAGCAAUCCCUGGUUCUUUCCUCAAGACUGAAGUUUAGCACUUGGGUCAGGUGCAGUCCUUUUGUCUCUUGCUUUCUUCUCCCCUCAUGUUCCCCUUGGCCACUGUACCCCCAAACAUCUGACUGGACCAAAACUGAGUUCUGAGUAUGGUCCAGAAGCUGUAGACUCAGGUGAGUGUAUUACCUGACAUUGUGGAGAUGCAACUCUAUUCCAUCUUGUACUACCCUGUGUGUCUGUGUAGUCUGUUUAGAAUGACAGAAUUGCUGUUUUCUGCAUUUUUGCAAAAUGACCCCUCAGCCUAGUUUUGAAAAUCUCAGGGGGAAUAUUGAAGUUGAGUUGGUGGACGGGUAGGAACUCUGGAAGUUUAAGUCUUAAUCUUUUCGGAGACUUCAGGUCAAAUAUAUGCAGCACCUGUACUGCUGUUGCCCAGAGUGAUGCUUUUUAAAGAUAAGUCGGGUCAUGUCCUUUCUCUGCUCAGGUUGGCACUUGUUGACCCUCUCACUCAGGCCCAGCAGAGGCCCUUAUUAUCUGCCCCUCUUGUCCCACCUCUCCGAUCUCACUCUCCCACGAUCACCACACUCCAUCCACACCAGCCCUGCUGUUUCUAGGGCUCUUGAGGAGCAGCCCCAUUUCAGGGUUUUUCUGCUUGCUAUUCCCUCUGCCUGGAACUCUCUUCCCCCCACACCCAAAUGACUUGCUCCUUCAGGUUCUUUGAGUCUUUGACCAACUUCUUAAUGUGAGUGGCAUGUUCUGAGAGAGAGAUCAAAAUCUCACCUUCUCAGUGACACCUGCUCUGCCCACCCACCCACACACCCCCUCUUCUCCCUGCUUUCUCUCCAAAGACUUUCUCACUCAUACUCUUUCUGCUGGCUUCCUUCGCUUAUGGUCUGCUUCUCCUCGCUAGGAUGUAAACCCAGUGGGGACAGAGAGUUUUGUUCACUGCAGUGUCCCCAGCACCUAGAACAGUGCCUGGCUCAAUAAAUAUUCAUCAAAUGAAUGAAUUGAAGGCGAUUUCCUCAGAGACUAAAUGAUCAUCGUCUAGGACCCCUUCUUUUUAUAAAUACAGAUGUCCACUCAUUAAUGGAAUAGGUAUCUUUUUGUAAGUUGGCUAUAAAAUCAAAUCUAUUUACUUCUUGAUUUUCAUUAUGAAAUUAAAGAUGCAUUUAUUUCUAUGAAAAAAAAAAAAGUCUCCCAGAAGAUUAAACAAGGAUUAGGAAAACUUCCAAGCCUUUGACAUUCUGGGUAUCAUUGUCAUGCUGUGUUUGCUUCCUGUCUUGGCAUUCAUUCCUUGGUUCCUGCUCCUUUGUAACAUUUGCAACCCAUAGUGGCGAUUCUAAUGCUGUCUCUCUCUCUCCAACGGGGGGAUUUUUUUUAUGCCAGCAUCCCCUUACUCGCUACCCAUAAUGUUCUGAAUUUCCUUCUCUUUUCCUUCUCCUUAUGCGUAAUGUGUAAUAGUAUCAUCAAAAGGUUGCCAAGCACACCACCUUACAAAGGAAGUCACAACAGCAUCAAUUUAGAUUUCCUGUUCUUACCCUCACUUGCACUGAAGAGUCUCUUACCCUGAAAACACCUCGCCUAACAGAUAUUUCUUAGAGUCCUCAGUGGUGAGCCCCACAACUUCAAUGUCAGAUAUAGACACCAUUUGGUGUCUGCCAUGUUAUUUUUUGCAUGCUUUGGCUCUUCUUAGUUGAUCCCCAGUGCCAAAGACACCUCCUGGAAGACUCUCAUCAUCAUCAUCAGUGGUGGUAGUGUUCACUGGGAGCUGCUGCUUCCUGAUGCUCUCAAGGCUGCCGAUUCUCUGGGUGCCUAGGGAGUUCCCACCUUGAGAAGUGGAGGAGUGACCCAGGGCCAAGGGUAUUGCUGCAUUUGGCACUGAAAAGCACUGCUCAGGUUUUUCUUUUUGGUUGCUGUUUGUUUGUUUAUUGUCUGCUUGAAGCUUUGGAAUGACAGUUGAUCUGACUUCUACCAUUCCUGCUAAUGUUUGGAAAAUCUUAAGGUCAAGUUUUGAUCAGAACUCAAGCCCAAGAUUCCAUGAGCUUCUUGAUCCUGUAGGUGCACUUGCAAGGAUUUGAAUUACCCCAUUAGGGAGGAUUGGGAAUGGAAGCCUUGAGAAGUGGGCCCUGAUCCAAUAUGACUGGUGUCCUUAUAAAAAGGGGAAGUCUGAACACAGAGACGGACACACACAGGAAAGAGGACAUGAGGAGACACAAGGAGAAGACAGUCAUCUACAACCUAAGAAACUGAGAAAAUAAUCCACAUCUUGAUCCAAGGAUCACUACUUUUUUUGUGUAGGGGAACCUAUUACCCUAAUAAAGCAGGGCUGUUGCAAGUAUCCAUAGUAGUGUCAACACAUAAGUCAAGCUGUGUUCCAUUCCUUCAUUACUUUAUUUGACUGACUGAGCACAACUCCAUGUUGGGGACACGACAGUGAGCAAUACAAAUAUUGUUUCUGCCCACCUGGAGCUCAUCUGUGGUCUACUAAGGGAGACAGAUAUUAAACAGGUAAAUGGACAUUGAUUACAGGUGAGUUAAGAACAUUAAAGGAAAAGUCCAGGUUUUCUGAGACUGUAUGGGGAGGGGCCAGUGGGACAGCCUCCUAUCUUGUGGGAAAGGGGUCAGGGACAGCCUCCCUGAGGGACUAACAGAGAGAGAAGCGGAGAUCUGAAACAUGGGUAGGAGUUACCUAGGAGUAAAGAGAAGAAUGUUCCAGGCAGAGGAAAAAAAAUUUCUUAAGAUCAAGGUUUCAGGGAUCUAUAAAAUAUGUAAAAUGUUAAUUUAUCCAUAGCAAAAUGGCUGACUGCAGUAUGUUAACUUUACUUUAUCCAUGGGUUGUAGUAGCAUCCAAAAUAGCCCAUCUUAUUCCCAGUGAGUCAGGACACGUUUCUUUGCACCUGCUUCCUGCUCUGGUAAAACCUGUGUUAAAUGAAUAUUGAUGAGAAUGCCAGGACUCUUUGGUUGAGCAGUUUUUUGGGUCUAGUUUUGUUUAUUUAAAUCAUUUCUGGAGUCUAGUCUUUUGCUUAAGGCAUGGAAUUUCGUGGUCUUGGUAUAUUUUCAAAGUGGUUGUCAGCUUUGUGCUUUGGUAGGCUGGAUCAACUCAUGGAAAGCCCCUAAGUGUACAUAGUAGGGAAAUCUCUGGGUCGUGAGGUGCAGAUGGAGAAAAAAGACAUUGCAUAAGAAAGGUGCAGCAAAAAUUUCAGUAUGGAGACCUUGGACAUCAGGCCUGGAUGAUGUGGCUUCAUGAUAAUCACAGUUAAUGCCCUCUACAUGGCUAUAAACUGUUUCUGGGAACUGAUGUAACUUUUCUGGAAGGGGGUGGGUAGAACCAAGAAGCCAGGGACUGCCUUUUGUGUGGAGGCCUUUGGACCUGGUGUAUUUUUCACACAUCCUGGACCACAACCCUGAGGAACGUCAGGAAGAUACAUCCAGCAAUAGCCUUUGUCUCUGCAAUUCUCAUAUCCUUUUGGUAGUCCAAGAAGCAUGUGAGUAAAAAUAAUCUGCAUUGAUAGAUUCGUUUCCACCAUCUGCAAACCCACCCCUGCUUCUCCUGAAUCUAGGCUUAUGACCUGAAAUUUGGGUGUCAAAACAGCUUACACUUUUGGUGUUAUGAAUGUGACACCUUCAGUGUCCCUUUCUUAUGCCAGUUUUGACAAUGCUCUCAUAUUUUUCUAUAGAAUGGUAUUGACUUACACAUUGCAGAGGUUUAAAACUGCCUCAUGAACCAUGCAUAGGUAUCUCCUUCAUUCAUUCAAUCAGCAAGUAUUUAUUGAGCGUCAGGUGUUGUUUUAAGGACUUGAGGUGAACAAAACAAAUUUUCCUAUCCUAAUGAGCUCACAUUUAAUUCAGAGACAGGCAAUAAAUAAGUAUAUACAUAAAUACAGAAAUAUGUCAAUAAUGUACGCACCAAGAAGAAAAAAAAUGAAAGGGGAUAGUGUUGGGGGUGGGAGUAUACUGCUUUGUACAGGGCAGACAAGAAGACCGCUCUGAGGAGAUAACAUUUUAGCAGAGAUCUGAAAGACAUAAGGGAAGGAACCACGUGAUUUUGUGGGGGUUUUGCAUUUUACAGAGGGAAUAGCAAAUGCAAAGGAGCUGAGGAGCAGCAUGUUUGGCUUGUUCAAGGAAUAGCAAGGACAGUCGUAGUCGUGGAAUGGAGCAUCCAGAUGGUGGUAGGGUGGGAUGGUGGUGGAUGGGAAGGAAAAUGUGUUAGCACAUAGUAGACUGAGAGGUGCUCAGAGACCAGAACAAGUCGGGCAAGAUGUGGACUUGGGGUUUUUAACUCUGUGUGAGGGGCAGCCAUUGGAGGGUCUUGAGCACCAUCUGUGACAUGAUCCAACUUACGUUUCAUUCAAGAGAUCUUGGGAGUGGCAGAGACCUUAGUUGUUGGGCUGGGAGUGGGCUCCAGAUUUCACACCUCCCUUCAGCCAGGACGGCCUCACUUUGAUCUAUUUUACAUAUUUGUUUCUGGAUAGAUUUUUUUAAGAAAGUUUCUCAUUAUUUAAAAACUUCUGGAAAUUACUGUUUUAUGUUGCCUGUGAUAUUUAUAAAAACAAGUAGAAAGUGGAAAAAUUAAAGUGAUAGAAAUGAAUAUCUCAUAAAUUUUAUUCCGUUGGGACAAAGAUGGAAACUACUAUGAAGGCAGGGGGUGGUCAAUUUGAACCUCAGCUGGACCAUUUGCAUUUAAGCCAGUUGAAUUGUUCCUUUGUGUUAACUGCAAAGGAAAAGGGCAAAAUUAAAGCUGAGGAUUAUAUAGGGAAUUUAUAAUAUUUUUUAGUUGUGUGGGAAUAGAAGUCUGUUCAAAAUGGGUGGAUUGCUCACAUCCAUCUUUAGGAACGUAUGUAGUCAAGGUAGGGAUUGCCUACACAAUUUAAC
Molecule: long non-coding RNA, 13128 nt
Organism: Equus caballus (horse)
Lineage: Eukaryota; Metazoa; Chordata; Mammalia; Perissodactyla; Equidae
Source: Ensembl